UCUUUUGGAAGCCAUGUCUUUUUGUGUCUUCCUGUUUCUAUGGCUAAACGGUGUUCACUGAGUCUGUAUUUCGUUAGUGUGCAUCUCAAAUUUGUCUCUUUUAUUUUUGUUAGGUAAUGUGCAAGUGUAUAUUUCCUGUUUAGGGUCAGAUAGCAUUGCAUUUUGCUUUGGGAUUGUGUUUUAGAUUGCCAAUAUUCGUCAUAAAUGUCUUUUAGGUUUUGGGGGGUUUGGUUAAUCCAAACAUUUUGUGUGGAUGUGGCCUGGUAUUUGGCCUUUAAAGUGUUGGAUGUCUCUGGAGGAGGGUGACUGAAGACCAGGUUGGUAGGGGAGUUAUCUUUGCUCAACUCUUGGUGUUUCAGGGCUUUAUAGUGGAAUGAGUUUGGGUCACUCAGACUUACAUGUUUGAUGAACUUGUUUGCCCUUUUCUGAAUUUUUAUCAGCAGAGGGUAUUGGCCUAGUUCUGCCCUACAUGCGUUAUUAGUUGUGUGCCGGUGGACUUUUAGAAUGGCUUUACAAAAUUCAGUAUGCAGGAUCUCAACUGGGUGUUUUUCCCAUUUAUCUAGGUCCUGAUUUCCAAGUGGGCCCCACACUUCACUGCCAUAAAGGGCAAUUGGUUCUAUUACUGAUGAGAACAGUUUUAGCCAGAUUUGGACUGGGAUUUCGAAGGGAAUUUGUCUUCUUAUGGCAUGAAGAGCCCUGCGUGCCUUGUCUCUUAAUUCAUUCACUGCCAUGUUGAAUGAUCCUUUAUUAUUUAUUCUAAGGCCUAGCCAGGGCCCAGGUCUGGCAGAACUUUUGAAGAUGGUCUAGUUGAGUCUGGAGUCCCUUUUCUGUCGGUGAAAGAAUGACAAGAUCAUCUGCAAAGAGCAGGAAUUUGACUUCACUGUCAUGUAGAGUGAGUCCAGGAGCUGAUGAUUUUUCAAGUAUGCUUGCUAGCUCAUUGAUGUAUAUAUUAAAUAAAGUUGGACUUAAUGAGCA
Long non-coding RNA from Alosa sapidissima (American shad), 975 nucleotides. RefSeq lists it as uncharacterized. Lineage: Eukaryota; Metazoa; Chordata; Actinopteri; Clupeiformes; Clupeidae. The transcript is spliced from 2 exons. The record is from RefSeq and is a predicted model, not a curated record.